Molecule: ribosomal RNA, 114 nt
Filed under: Chelonia mydas (Green sea turtle)
Lineage: Eukaryota; Metazoa; Chordata; Testudines; Cheloniidae
Source: RNAcentral
UCACAUAGCCCUACUGGACUGAAUGCAAUCAAUCUCAUCUGAUCUCAGAAGCUAAACUGUCCUGGGCUGGACUAGUACUUGGAGGCCACCUGGGAAUCCCAGCUGCUGUAGGCA